GCCCUCUGGUUUUCCUCUCUUCGCCUCGGUGUCCAUCUCCAAGCGCCUCGCCUCUCCUGUCCUUGUCUUGCCCUUCGUCGCCUCGGCGCGGCCGCCAUCCGUCGCUCGGGCGGGGGCCUCGGCGCGCUCGUGUUUUACGUCACUUCCUUCUCUAUAUACUACGUUUCGAUUUCGAGGCGGGUCGGCUUCUUCUUCACCGGUUGAUUUGUUCCGCUGCUUUGCGCCUCCGUGCUCUCGCAGAUCCCUUGGGGCCGUCUCGCCUCCGCGCGACGCCGGCAGCGAGCUGAGUUUGGUUUCGCCGGGUUGCUCGGUUUGCGGUUUAUUCUUCCCGCGAUUUUAGUUUUUGCGUCGAUCCUGUUUCGUCCUCGCCUUCUCAGCGUGUGGGUUGCAGGAUUUUGGGUCCGAUCCGGUCUUAGGCGUUCGUCAUGGCGUCGUGUGGCGAGGAGAUGGAGGCAGGUCAGUCUUCUGUCAGAUCCGGCGGUUCAUUGGUUAUCGAGAGAUUAGUUGAAGGGUGUAGGUUUGCUUAUGGUUCAUUCCUCGUUUUGGUUCAUUCCUCGUUUUUCGUUUUGAUGUCACCAUAUUGGUGUGAAGAUUGCCACCGGACUUUUACUAUAAGGUUGUUGAUCCUUCAUUGGAGAUGCUGCUGGCUGGAUCUGCAGGGGCAACAAAGUUUUGGAAGUAGAUUGAGGCGUUGACUGGACUGAUGUUCAUAGUAUCGGGAGAAGAUCGUUCGGAUAUAUAUAUUUACCUAAAUCGCUCAUCUGUUAGUUCAUACUCAUUUUUUGUCCGCUGCAAUUCUUAAUUGCUUAAAUUGGGGCUGGUGGUUUUCUCCAGCAACUCGAUUGAAUGGAUGGAUGGGUCGGAGGCGAGUUUGAUCCUGCUUCUCCUUGUGCAAUCAGGAGUUCGGAACUGUUUAGAGUUCCUUGCGUUUGUUCACUAACCAUCCUCUCUCCUGUCUUCCUUCAAAAAUUGGCAUUAUAAGCUUGAUUACCCUUCAUUGGAAAUUCUGCUUGCUGGAUCUGCAGGGGCAGAAGAGUUUUGGAACUAGAUUGAGGCGUUAACUGGACUGAUGUUCAUAGUAUCGGGAGAAGAUCGUUCGGAUAUAUCUACCUAAAUCGCUCUUCUACUAUUGGUUCAUAUUUAAUUUCUGUCCGCUGCAAUUUUUAGUUAAUUAUAUUGGGGCUGAUGGUUUUCUCCAGCAACAAGAUUAUUAUAUGGAUGGAUGGAUGGAUGGUGUUCAAGCGCCUUGCCUGUCCUGUCUUGCCCUUUGUCCCUUCGUCGCCUCGGGCCUCGGCGUGCUCGCAUUUUCCAUUACUUCGUUUCGAUUUUGAGCCGGGUAUCAUCUUCACCUGUUGUUUUGUUCCGCUGCUUUGCGCCUCCGUGCUCCCGCAGAUCCCUUUGGGCCGUUUCGCCUCCGCGCGACGCUGGGAGCGAGCUGAGUAUGGUUUGGCUGGGUUGUUCAGUUUGCGGUGUAUUCUUCCUGCAAUUCUAGUUUUCGUGUUGAUUCGGUAUCGUCCUCGACUUCUCAGCGUGUGGGUUGCAGGAUUGGGUCCGAUCGGUGUUGUGAGAGUUCGUCAUGAUGGCGUGUGGCGAGGAGAUACAGGCAGGUCAGUCUUCUGUCAGAUCCGACGUUAAUUGGUUUUGUUGAUUGGACAUGGAUUGAUGAUUUCUCAGGCUCAAAUGUAUCCGGGUGUGGUACCAUCAGAACCUCUCGUAGCCUGCACACCAACUGGAUUCGGCCCGUUCUUAUUUUAAUUGCUGAUCUCGCUUGUGUCCUUUUUGGUGUUAGUCGUCCUGACUUCAGAAGCAGAAGAAAGGGUCCAGCGCUGGUUACGGAGAUAUUAGUUGAAGGGUUGAGGUUUUCUUAUGGUUCAUUCAUUGUUUUUCGUUUGAUGUCGUCAUAUUGGUGUGAAGAUCGCAACCGGACUUACUAUAAGCUUGUUUGCACUUCAUUGGAAAUGCUGCUGGCUGGAUCUGCGGGGGCAACAGAGUUUUGGAAGUUGAUUGAGGUGUUGACUGGACCGGUGUAUCAGGAAAAGAUCGUUGGGAUAUACAUACCAAAAUUGCUUUUGUAUUGGUUCGUCUUCAGUUUCUGUGCGCUGCAAUUCUUUGUUUCUUAUAUUGGGGCCGGUGGUUUUCUCCAGCAAGAUUAUAUGGAUGGAUGGGGUUGGAGGCGUGUUUGAUCUGGCUUGUGCUUGUGCAAUCAGAAGUUAGGAACUGUUCAGAGUUCCUUGUUUGUUCACUAACCAUCCUCUCUCCUGCCGUUCUUCGAAAAUUGACACUAUAAGCAUGAUUACCCUUCAUUGGAAAUGCUGUUUGCUGGAUCUGCAGGGGCAACAUAGUUUUCGAAGUAGAUUGUGGCAUUGACUGGAUUGAUGCCAUAGACCAUAGUACCGGGAGAAGAUUGUUAGGAUACAUCUACCUAGUCGUAAAUCGCUCUUCUAUUGGUUUAUGGUUUAUACUCAUUUUCUGCCGGCUACAAUUCUUAAAUGUUUUAAAUUGGGGUUGGUGGGUUUCUCCAGCAACUUGAUUAUAUGGAUGGAUGGGUGGGUGGGUUGGAGGCGAGUUCGACCCUGCUUCUGCUUCUGCAAUCAGAAGAUUUGAACUGUUCAGAGUUACUUGUUUGUGUUCACUAACUAUCCUCUCUGCCAAUCUUCUUUGAAAAUUGGCUUUCCUCAAAGGUUUCCCUUCGUUAGUAAAUCUGCAGUUUUAGGAGACACCACUAGAGUUCGUCCUCAUAGAUACAAAAGGACAUUGCUGGUUAUGGAGAGGUCAGUUGAAGGCUGGAGGUUUGACUAUGUUCGUUGUUUUUUUAUAUGUUAUAUAUGGCUGUUCUGAUGUCACUUAAUGGUGGGUGAAGUUUGCCACCGGACUAAUUUGAAGUUUGAUUGCCCUUAAUUAGAAAAAUGUGGUUAGCUGGAUCAGGUGAUGUUUUGGAGGAAUAGAGGUAGAUUUAAGCAUUUUGGAGGUGGAUUGAAGCUUUGACUGGACUCCAAGUUCAUUGCAUCUGGAGAACAUCGUUUGGCUCUGCCUCUCUUUUAUUGGUGCUCCUAAAUUUCUUGUUCCUUACAUUUGGGAUGGCGGUUCUCUACUUCUGUUUCUGCAUGAGUUAGAUUCUGUUUCUGCAUGAGCAAUAAGUUCUGAAUUGUUCAGGAUUCCCUUCGUUUGCUGUCAAUGUUCUUCGAAAAUUUUACUGUCAAUGUUCUUCUGAAAAGUUAGCUGUCCGUUUCUGCAGAUGCACACAAGCUGAGAUAGAAUUUCCAACAAUUGGUGUUGUCUCCAGAGCCCAUCCUUGUUCCACUGGCCAUUUGGUUCGCCUUGGAUUUGAAGGUUCAUUAAGUAUAUCCUUGAGCCAAAAUAGAAAAAAAAAAUCAUAGAAGAGCUCUUUGGUAUCCAGAGAAAACCCUCCGAGUAGUGUGCAACUGUGCAUUAAUGUGAAGUUUGAUAACUUGGACUGACAUGUUGUUUUCAUGCUCUGCGGUAGUUUGCGCUAACUACUCUGACUAUUCCAGUUCCCUUGUUUUGUUUGAGACAUCUUAAUAUUCUUCAAUCUAACCAGAGUUCACCUAAAACUUUUGCUCAUAUCAGCCAUUUAUUUUGGAUCCAGUUGUCUGAUUUAAGUUGAUGGAUGUUUGGUUGGAUUUCUGCAGUUGGAGCUAAGGUUCACUAUUAUUGUUGAUUUCGGGUUUAAGGAUAUUCUGAAAACAAUGGUUCCUAAUAGAAGAUUAACUAUGGCAUGUUUUGGUUUGAGUCCGGCCAUUCCAUGAUUUUUAUUAGAGCUGAUCUUGUGGCAAUUGAGCAUCUUCUGCCUAGGCCAAAUUGGAUGGAUUCCUAGUUUUAUUGGCAAACAUAACUGUGGCAUGUUUUGAGUCCGAUCAUGCAAUGAUUUUUAUUGGAGCAUCUUCUGCCAAAUAGAUGGAAGACUCACUAGUUUUGUUGGACGAAAUUAACUGGAAGCUUGUGAUGUUUUACAAUUGGCACACGUUGAAUGUUCAGUCCUGUGACUAAAUAAAAUACUCUAGAUACCUGCUCCUGCUCGUACUAGGUUUACUUAUUGAUUGUUGCAGCGAAGUUAUUUACUGUUUUUUACGUAGCGUCUUUGUUGUAGAAUACUUCGUUUGGCACAAAAACCGGUUACGUUGUUUGUUUCUUUUUAUAAUGCUGAGAACAUGAUAUUUUUUUUGUUGGGUAUUAUAUGUGUUCUGAUUAUUUGUUUGUU
Long non-coding RNA from Zea mays, 4219 nucleotides. RefSeq lists it as uncharacterized. The record is from RefSeq and is a predicted model, not a curated record. Lineage: Eukaryota; Viridiplantae; Streptophyta; Magnoliopsida; Poales; Poaceae. The transcript is spliced from 2 exons.